This 397-nucleotide ribosomal RNA is filed under the name uncultured bacterium. RNAcentral describes it as "partial 16S ribosomal RNA". It matches the Rfam family "Bacterial small subunit ribosomal RNA", at positions 523 to 918 of the family's 1533-position model. The record is from RNAcentral.
AUACGUAGGGGGCGAGCGUUGUCCGGAAUGAUUGGGCGUAAAGGGCGCGUAGGCGGCCCGGUAAGUCUGGAGUGAAAGUCCUGUUUUUAAGAUGGGAAUUGCUUUGGAUACUGUCGGGCUUGAGUGCAGGAGAGGUAAGUGGAAUUCCCAGUGUAGCGGUGAAAUGCGUAGAGAUUGGGAGGAACACCAGUGGCGAAGGCGACUUACUGGACUGUAACUGACGCUGAGGCGCGAAAGUGUGGGGAGCAAACAGGAUUAGAUACCCUGGUAGUCCACACUGUAAACGAUGAAUGCUAGGUGUAAGAGGUAUCGACUCCUUUUGUGCCGGAGUCAACACAAUAAGCAUUCCGCCUGGGGAGUACGGCCGCAAGGUUGAAACUCAAAUGAAUUGACGGGG